Molecule: ribosomal RNA, 497 nt
Filed under: uncultured bacterium
Lineage: Bacteria
Description: partial 16S ribosomal RNA
Rfam family: Bacterial small subunit ribosomal RNA
Source: RNAcentral
GAUGAACGCUGGCGGCGUGCCUAAUACAUGCAAGUCGAGCGAACGGACGAGAAGCUUGCUUCUCUGAUGUUAGCGGCGGACGGGUGAGUAACACGUGGAUAACCUACCUAUAAUACUGGGAUAACUUCGGGAAACCGGAGCUAAUACCGGAUGAUAUUUUGAACCGCAUGGUUCAAAAGUGAAAGACGGUCUUGCUGUCACUUAUAGAUGGAUCCGCGCUGCAUUAGCUAGUUGGUAAGGUAACGGCUUACCAAGGCAACGAUGCAUAGCCGACCUGAGAGGGUGAUCGGCCACACUGGAACUGAGACACGGUCCAGACUCCUACGGGAGGCAGCAGUAGGGAAUCUUCCGCAAUGGGCGAAAGCCUGACGGAGCCACGCCGCGUGAGUGAUGAAGGUCUUCGGAUCGUAAAACUCUGUUAUUAGGGAAGAACAUAUGUGUAAGUAACUGUGCACAUCUUGACGGUACCUAAUCAGAAAGCCACGGCUAACUACGUG